This 485-nucleotide ribosomal RNA is filed under the name uncultured bacterium. RNAcentral's name for it is "bacterial SSU rRNA". It matches the Rfam family "Bacterial small subunit ribosomal RNA", at positions 327 to 805 of the family's 1533-position model. The record is from RNAcentral.
AACCGAGAACUCCUACGGGAGGCAGCAGUGGGGAAUAUUGGACAAUGGGCGAAAGCCUGAUCCAGCCAUGCCGCGUGUGUGAAGAAGGUCUUCGGAUUGUAAAGCACUUUAAGUUGGGAGGAAGGGCAUUAACCUAAUACGUUGGUGUCUUGACGUUACCGACAGAAUAAGCACCGGCUAACUCUGUGCCAGCAGCCGCGGUAAUACAGAGGGUGCAAGCGUUAAUCGGAAUUACUGGGCGUAAAGCGCGCGUAGGUGGUUUGUUAAGUUGAAUGUGAAAUCCCCGGGCUCAACCUGGGAACUGCAUCCAAAACUGGCAAGCUAGAGUAUGGUAGAGGGUAGUGGAAUUACCUGAGUAGCGGUGAAAUGCGUAGAUAUAGGAAGGAACCCCAGUGGCGAAGGCGACUACCUGGACUGAAACAGUCACUGAGGUGCGAAAGCGUGGGGAGCAAACAGGAUUAGAAACCCUUGUAGUCCGACUGAGA